GAGUUUGAUCCUGGCUCAGAUUGAACGCUGGCGGCAUGCUUUACACAUGCAAGUCGAGCGGCAGCGCGGGGGCAACCCUGGCGGCGAGCGGCGAACGGGUGAGUAAUGCAUCGGAACGUGUCCCGUGGUGGGGGAUAACCCAGCGAAAGCUGGGCUAAUACCGCAUAUGCUCUGCGGAGGAAAGUGGGGGACCUGAAAGGGCCUCACGCCAUGGGAGCGGCCGAUGUCCGAUUAGCUUGUUGGUGGGGUAAUGGCUUACCAAGGCGACGAUCGGUAGCUGGUCUGAGAGGAUGAUCAGCCACACUGGGACUGAGACACGGCCCAGACUCCUACGGGAGGCAGCAGUGGGGAAUUUUGGACAAUGGGGGCAACCCUGAUCCAGCCAUGCCGCGUGCGGGAAGAAGGCCU
This 408-nucleotide ribosomal RNA is filed under the name uncultured beta proteobacterium. RNAcentral's name for it is "bacterial SSU rRNA". It matches the Rfam family "Bacterial small subunit ribosomal RNA", at positions 9 to 417 of the family's 1533-position model. Lineage: Bacteria; Pseudomonadati; Pseudomonadota; Betaproteobacteria. The record is from RNAcentral.